CCUACGGGAGGCAGCAGUGAGGAAUAUUGGUCAAUGGCCGGAAGGCUGAACCAGCCAUGCCGCGUGAAGGUCAGUGCCCUAUGGGUUGUAAACUUCUUUUAUAUGGGAAUAAAAUGUUCCACGUGUGGGAUUUUGUAUGUACCAUAUGAAUAAGGAUCGGCUACCUCCGUGCCAGCAGCCGCGGUAAUACGGAGGAUCCGAGCGUUAUCCGGAUUUUUUGGGUGUAAAGGGAGCGUAGGUGGAUUGUUAAGUCGGUUGUGAAAGUUUGCGGCUCAACCGUAAAAUUGCAGUUGAAACUGGCAGUCUCGAGUACAGUAGAGGUGAGCGGAAUUCGUGGUGUAGCGGUGAAAUGCUUAGAUAUCACGAAGAACUCCGAUUGCGAAGGCAGUUCACUGGACUGCAACUGACACUGAGGCUCGAAAGUGUGGGUAUCAAACAGGAUUAGAUACCCCAGUAGUC
RNAcentral lists this ribosomal RNA (459 nucleotides) under uncultured bacterium. RNAcentral describes it as "partial 16S ribosomal RNA". It matches the Rfam family "Bacterial small subunit ribosomal RNA", at positions 338 to 795 of the family's 1533-position model. The record is from RNAcentral.